AGGCAGAAGUGGUCCUUGCUGAGGAGGGCCAGGGAGUCCCCACUCAGGUGCCAGCACAGGGAGAGCACCUGGAAGUCACCUGGAGGAAGCCAGGAGAAAAGCAUGUCCACACCCUUCCCAUCGGCCGUCAGGGAGGGGAACUGGGCGCCCUGCCACCUCCAGCUCCCGCAGCCCCCAGGCCAGUGGACACGGACGAGGCUGUGUUUACCAGGCGUGGCUGUGAGGAAAGAGAAGAAUCUGAUGUCCUGAACUGCCUCUGUGAAAAGCUCACGCGGCAUUUAGGGGAGACAAGGGAUGCAGACAAGCUGCAGGGUUGGCGGCACUUCUGGGCUGUACUCAAGUGCCACUCUGGCUGCUCCAAAGACCACACCUACAGUCACAAGAGAGAGACGAGUCAGUGUGCUACGUAGGCUUGAAGACAACCGGCCAAGAGCUGUGUGGAGGC
Molecule: long non-coding RNA, 445 nt
Organism: Eubalaena glacialis (North Atlantic right whale)
Lineage: Eukaryota; Metazoa; Chordata; Mammalia; Artiodactyla; Balaenidae
Exons: 4
Source: RefSeq, a predicted model, not a curated record